CACUUCCUGAAGUUGUUGUAAAUCUUCUAAGUAGUGGUUACUGCAUAACCAAGUCCUCCUGCCCCCAGUCCAGAGGCAGCAAGUAAGGAGGCCAGAGAGAGUCCAACUACUACUGGCAGAAAGAUGGCCCAUCUUGUCCUGGAAAGGGAGGAGUAACAAGCCAUGUUAAUUUGCUGGGAGCCAUUAGCCAAGUAGCUGUGUGGUGGCUCGUGAUUGUGCGCCCAGCCAGACUGUGGCAUUUGGCGUCCCGUGCGGGGAACUUCUGAAGCUUAGAGGUAAGUGAAAUUUCUCACCCUUGGGGAAGAGAGAAAGAAUGGGUGAACAUUUCAAAAAACAAUGUGUUAUUGUUUUGAUUUAUUUUGUUUUUAUUUCAAGUUGCCUGUUCUUAGAACUUUCUCAGGCAAACUGGGGAAAAUGGUUGACUCAAGGUUUGAAGUUGUUCGCCUCCCAGCAAGAGAAAUUGUUAGAGGAAGGGGGCACCCCAGUGAGACCAAGAACAAUUAGGGCAUAUGUUGAUACAAUACAAAAAUGUAGCCAAUGGCUUUUUAAAGAUGAGUUAUUAAGUAUAUUAAUGAGACCAUCAUGGUAUCCUGUAGAAGGAUUUUUCUUCAACAAGAAAGAGAUGGCUAGUUCUGUUUACUAUAUUUGUCUAAGAUCUUGGUUUUUACAGACAUCUGAUUAAUUUACAAAGCUGAAGUGUUAAAAUAUCAACCACUAAAUAUAAAAUCAAGUACUCUUUACUUAUUAAGUUCCAUAAGGUAAUAUAUUUAAACAUUAUGUGUGUUUUCAUAAAUUGGUAAAUGGAAAAAUGUUUAAUAUUGCUUUGUGUCUGUGUCUUUGCUAAAACAAGGUUACUAAGUGUUAAGAUUCUAUCAUGUGUAAUUUAUAUACAAAGAGUAGAAAAAUUUUCAUUUGGGUUUCAAUUAUAGUAUUAUAGUAUCAAAACAUGAAAGUCUUUCAUCUUAUUAAAGUGGAGUAAUUUGUCUAAAUCAGAAAUUUUAUAAGAGUUGUUUCAAAAUGUGAAUUUAUAAAAAGGGUUAAUGGUUAAAAAAGAGAGAAAAAGAUUCAAGAUGUGGAAAUAUAUUUUAAUAUAAUAAAAGGUUAAAGGAAAAAGAAAUGUUUCUAGAUGAGAUAAUCUCUGUGUGGUAAAGUAAAAAGUUGUAAAAUGUCAUUUAAAAAGAUUUUGAGGAAACUAGACUUACUUUAAAAGCUUGAGAAAGGAAGAAAGAAGAAAAAGGUAUUUGUACAUGGCAGAUUGAGACAAAGCUUCUCAAUGGAGUUAAAAAAAAAAAAAGCCUUUGGUUGAAGGGCAGCCAUGUAAACUAACAUUGAAGCAAUUUAAACAGAAUCUAAGCCUCGUUUAAAAGAGUGAAGUUGUAGGUGGUGAAAAAGUACAUUUAAAAGUACAGUAUAGAUGAUAAUUAAAAGGCUUUAAAAGGUUAAAUUGAAGGUGGUCGAGAUACCUUCAUGGCAGAAAAAAGAUUGCUUUAUUGCAUCAUUCGAAGCCUAGUUAAUCUUAAAGGCAUUACUUUAAAAAAAAAUGGGAAGAUAAUAGGAUAAAAGAUAUUUAGAUAAAGAAGAUUAAAAAUUUAAAGUGAAAAACUUUAAAGACAGAAGUAUAGAAAGUUAAAAAGAAAAAAGAUAAAGAAGAUGUAGGAAGAUAGAAAAGAUGUAGGAAGACAAGAAUUUUAAACCCACAAAAUAGGAAAAAAAAAACUAGGAGGAAAAUAAGCAACUAAGGGUAAAAAUACAAACCUUAGGAAAAAAAAAAAAAACUAGAAGAUAGAAAUAAGAUAGAAAAUGGUUGAAAAUGUCAAGUAAGGUAUUACACAGAUAGAAAAUGCAAAAAGCUAAGACAACUAUUAGAUACAGACAUACUUAUUAAAGCAAAAAGAGGGAAUUGGAAAGGGGUAUAUAUCCCCCAAAGAUAAACUUAAAAUAAUGCUUUUUACUCUAAACUUUUAAAAUUUGGAUUCAUAGGGACUUAGUGCUGCGGAAAGACACAUGUAUCCAAAAAAUGUACAUAAGCCUAAGGUACUUUGGAAAGAUAUUCUAACAGGACAAUGGAAAGGUCCUGACCCAGUGAUUGUCUGGAGUCGGGGUUUUGUUUGUGUGUUUCCACAGGGAGAACAGCAGCUGAUUUGGAUUCCAGAGAGAUUAACUAAAACAAUUUCUACAGAUGGAAAAGAAGAUGAUUUGACUCAAAUCCAUAACAGCUGAUAUCCAGAACUCCAGCUUGGCCAUUCUUACAUCUGCGACAGUGAUUAACUAGUGAUGCAAUUUUUAUUUCCUUGCCAGCACACCCCAUGUUAAUUGUGGUAGUGCUGACAUAUCUUUGCUGAUGGUGUCACCAGUGAUGCAAUUUUUCCCAAGGAGCCGUCAAUUGGCUUGGUGUCGUGGCAUUUCUGUAUCCUCCUCCCUUCUGCUAGUGAUGGUCUAAAAUUUGGGGGCCAAUGGCUUAUGCUGGACCGGUAGUCAGUGACGGGUAUGAUCCAAUUGCAGUGGUAUCAACCUAAGACAGGAGGCUGACGCCUAAAGGUCAGUUUUCCGAUGACGGGUAAGAACCAUAUGUUGAAUUGGACAACCUACCAGUCACGGUCCAUAAGCCACAUUAACCUCACUCCCCCACUGGCACCAAGGCCAAAUUUGGGGGCCAACAGAGGUGAGGCAAAGAACCUCACCCCCCCAGUGGUGCAUAGACCUAUCCACAAGUAUGGCUGUAUGCUGGACCGGUAGUCAGUGACGGGUAUGAUUCAAUUGCAGUGGUAUCAACCUAAGACAGGAGGCUGACGCCUAAAGGUCAGUUUUCCGAUGACGGGUAAGAACCAUAUGUUGAAUUGGACAACCUACCAGGCACGGUCCUUAAGCCACAUUGCUUGUUGUUUAAUUAAUCCGAAGGGGGGAGAUGCUGGGAGCCAUUAGCCAAGUAGGUAUGACAAUUUCCUUGCCAGCGUACCCCAUGUUGCAGUGACAUUGAAUGUACGUGACCUUGCUCAAGGACCAAGGCAGAUUAGGGUGUUCCCGGUUUUAAGAUAAUCGUGUUUAGGGUGUUCCCAGUUUAGGUUCCAGGUUUAAGGUUUAAGAUUAUUCCUGCUGGGAAUAGGGCGUAUCCUGCUGCCUGAGUUCCCCUUAAGUUCUCACGGGAUUCAGACAAUAUAUUUUGGAGAUAGAAGCCCAGUGGGAGUGGAUUUGGGCAGAGAACGUGGAUUUCCCCAGAACGUGAUUGUAGAUGGCUGGUGUGAGUUCUGGAAUAAAGAGUUGCUGUUUGAAUCUACAA
Marmota monax (woodchuck) is the source of this 3277-nucleotide long non-coding RNA. RefSeq lists it as uncharacterized. NCBI's taxonomy places the organism in Eukaryota, Metazoa, Chordata, Mammalia, Rodentia, Sciuridae. The transcript is spliced from 2 exons. The record is from RefSeq and is a predicted model, not a curated record.